Molecule: transfer RNA, 63 nt
Filed under: Camelus bactrianus (Bactrian camel)
Lineage: Eukaryota; Metazoa; Chordata; Mammalia; Artiodactyla; Camelidae
Also listed under: 2 other names
Rfam family: tRNA
About the family: Transfer RNA (tRNA) molecules are approximately 80 nucleotides in length. Their secondary structure includes four short double-helical elements and three loops (D, anti-codon, and T loops). Further hydrogen bonds mediate the characteristic L-shaped molecular structure. tRNAs have two regions of fundamental functional importance: the anti-codon, which is responsible for specific mRNA codon recognition, and the 3' end, to which the tRNAs corresponding amino acid is attached (by aminoacyl-tRNA synthetases). tRNAs cope with the degeneracy of the genetic code in two manners: having more than one tRNA (with a specific anti-codon) for a particular amino acid; and 'wobble' base-pairing, i.e. permitting non-standard base-pairing at the 3rd anti-codon position.
Source: Rfam by way of RNAcentral
GUAUAGCUCAGUGGUAGAGUGUGUGCUUAGCAUGCAUGAGGUCCUGGGUUCAACCCCCAGUAC